Small nuclear RNA from Prosopis cineraria, 104 nucleotides. NCBI's taxonomy places the organism in Eukaryota, Viridiplantae, Streptophyta, Magnoliopsida, Fabales, Fabaceae. The record is from RefSeq and is a predicted model, not a curated record.
AUCCCUUUCGGGGACAUCCGAUAAAAUUGAAAUGAUACAGAAAAGAUUAACAUGACCUUUGUGCAAAGAUGACACGCACAAAUCGAGAAUCAUUUAGUCUUACA